RNAcentral lists this long non-coding RNA (333 nucleotides) under Brassica napus (rape). RNAcentral describes it as "long non-coding RNA (BNAP_LNC014247)". The record is from RNAcentral. Lineage: Eukaryota; Viridiplantae; Streptophyta; Magnoliopsida; Brassicales; Brassicaceae.
GAGGUGGAACGGCCAAGCACGAGGUGUCGCGAUGCAUGCGACCAGACAUGUGGAGGACGUGGUGUCAGCUUGCAUGGGAGAAGGCCAUGCAUUCAGACAGGUAGAGGGCGUCAUGUCAGCUUGCAUGUGAGCAGACCAUGCUGAAGGACAUGUGGAGCACGAGGUGCCGCCGCGCAUGUGUCCGGAGCCAUGCAAAGCGACACACGGGCUGCCACACGGCUUGUUCCUGAUUGGUCGCUGAUUCCUAUAAAUAGGCCACGACCCCCUCUCAUUUCAAACCAUCCAGAAAACAUCAAACCUACUUCAAAACAUAAAGAGAAAGCAAAGAAAGAA